AUGAAGGAUAUGUCAUAUGUUCAGUUCCUUACAUUUUUCUAUGGUGUAUGUACACUGCAUUCGAGGGAGAGGACGGCAAGAGUAAGAAAGCCUUGCGGCAUGAAGGCAGUAGCACGCAGGGCCAAAUCAAGUGCAUUGACCUCAAUGGCAAGAGACCAGUACCGUCAGGUUCGCUUGACUGCUUGCUAGGUUUCAUGCCUUAUUCCUUUUCAUAUAGGAAAUAUAAAGUGCACAUAUAGAAGAGCCCAUAUUGGGCAUCCUUUUCUUUUUAGUUUUUGGAAUCCUUGGAAAGGGUGUUAUAUAUUUUCAUAAUUCUUACCACUUAUUUAUCUUUUUUAGCAGCAUAGAUUUAAAUGUAGUAACAAGUGUUUAUGCUUUGCAGCCCGGCAUCAAACAAUACCCUUAACAAAGCUACACAAUGGAUGCUAUUUGUCAUAUUUUGACCUAUGAAUCUGUUUGAAUAGAUUAUACAGGAUUGAUGUGGUUAUCAGAUGAUUGCAGUCUACCCUAGGAUUUGCAGAGAUCAAUGAGGAUUCGGGCGGCAUGAAGGGGACUGGUGAUAGGAAACAUGGAUCCAAGAAGAAAUCAAACAACAUGGUGAGUUGUUCUCCCUUUUCAAAUUUGAAACCUAGACUAGAGUCGGUCAAUUGUAAUUUAGUAACAUGAUUAGGAUAGUAUAAUAUUUUGCUACUACCUUGCUGAUAGUUUUGCAGGGUAAUUCUGUCGGCUAUAUAUGUGUUUAUUUUUUAUUGUAGUGAGAUCACUUAUUUUUAUUUAGAAAAUAGAAACCUGAAGUGUGGCUAUAAGAAUCUAAUAGCAGAUGUUCUUCGCAUGAACAAGCUGUGUAAUGUACCUACUGACUAAUAGCAUAAUCAUGACUUGGCUUGCCCGGUUUUACUCUGCGAAGAGUAGUAUGUGGUGCUCUAAUAUUCAACUGUGUUCUUGAAUUGGGAAUUAUGUUUUUAUAAAGUGCUUGUGUGUUGGUCUGAUGUAUAUAAGUUAAAGAAAAUAAAAAACAGAUGGAGGAAGGGAACUUCUUGCUUUUCUUUUCCUUUUGUUUCUCUGUUUGAUAAUUACUCCCUACGAUGAGAAGGUUUACGAAUAGAAAUGUCCUACUCUUUGAUCCCUUUUAGUGUGAGCGGCUCGACGGCAAGCAUGACCGUCUGCUCCAUGCUUUAUUGGUUGUGUCUUUGGCUCCGUGUGCGUUGCGCCACAUACGUGUUUGUUGCUUGCGUGCUGCUGCUGUGUGUAUGGUGUGUUGGCUUGAUGUGUGUGUGGGCGCGCGCACGCACUAGCUAGGUGAGGAUCACUGGCUCACUGCUCUCUCUAUGUACUCCCUCCAUUCCAAAAUAGAUGACUCAACUUUGUACUAACUUUAAUACAAAGUUGAGUUAUCUAUUUUGGAACGGAGGGAGUAGCUUCUUAGGAGGAAAAAUACUUUGCCGCUGGUCUGCAUCAUGCUUCUAGCAUCUUUCCAGGCAGGUAGAUGUUUCCAAGAUCAAGAGAGAAAAGGUCCUUGCAUGCAUAUACUUUUAGAUGACACAUGACCAGAAGUCUUUCCUAUUAAAAUCAUGUGGCCUUGUGACACCCCGACCCUUUUCUUCAGAAAUUUGUAAUGUGUUUACGCAUGUCUGUUGUGAUGUGCAUAGGAGCAUGAUUUGUUCUGGCACUUUAGGCAUUAGCACACCUAUAAUACAGGUGGCGCGCGUGUGUGUUUGAAGUGUCAGUGCUUGUGUGUAGGAAGUCUAAUAGGGUGGGUUUCGAUUUCUUUUGACUUUCUGAUCAGCCCAAUUGGCCUGGGCUGCGUGUAAGCUUUGUCCUGACGAGGAAGCUGACUGUGCAUCAUCAGUUUAACACCAUCAGCUGGAUCUUUGAAGCCAUCCAACGCUCAACUUUAGUGACUGGUGUAGCGACCCAGGAUUUUAUCCUAAACUGCUAUUAAACUCACAAGAGGGAGCAUUUUAAUAACAAAAGAACUCUACCAUGCUUUCUGAUAUAUACUCCUGCGUAUAUAUAUGUUGUACUAGAAGUUCCUAUGUUUUAACUAUUGCGUACCAGAAAAUUGAAUUGGCAAUGUCUGCAUAGAUAUGAUGUAUUAAAU
Molecule: ribosomal RNA, 2101 nt
Filed under: Triticum aestivum (bread wheat)
Lineage: Eukaryota; Viridiplantae; Streptophyta; Magnoliopsida; Poales; Poaceae
Description: partial small subunit ribosomal RNA
Source: RNAcentral